GCUGGGCAUGGUGGCUUGUGCCUGUAGUCCUAGCUACUCAGGAGGUUUAGGUGGGAGGAUUGUUUGAGCUCAAGAGUUCAAGGGUGCAGUGAUCUAUGAUUGUGACACUGCACUUUAGCCUGGGCAACAGAGCAAGACCUUAUCUGGA
This is an unclassified non-coding RNA of Callithrix jacchus (white-tufted-ear marmoset), 148 nucleotides long. It matches the Rfam family "Metazoan signal recognition particle RNA". Rfam says of the family: The signal recognition particle (SRP) is a universally conserved ribonucleoprotein. It is involved in the co-translational targeting of proteins to membranes. Lineage: Eukaryota; Metazoa; Chordata; Mammalia; Primates; Cebidae. The record is from Ensembl.